UGUCCUUCGACUGCUCGUCGAAGUCCUUUUUGCCCCAGUUGGUAGAUCUCUUAACAUUACAGAGAACCUCAAACAAUCCAAAUUGCUAAUCUUCGAUACCGCUUUAUACUCACGAUCUUGUAUCCACUGAUUGUCUUAUUAGAUUAAUCCAAAAAUUUUCACUCACUCUGCAUACUCAAUCCUAUAGACAUCCUUUUAAUCUUUUAAUCACAGACAUAACUUCAAUUUCACAAAACAGUCAAGAGUAAUCACACCCACUUCAUUAAAAAUCUCGAUU
This 277-nucleotide long non-coding RNA is filed under the name Physcomitrium patens. Its description in RNAcentral is "long non-coding RNA (PPAT_LNC010210)". Lineage: Eukaryota; Viridiplantae; Streptophyta; Bryopsida; Funariales; Funariaceae. The record is from RNAcentral.